AGAGGCAAAAACUUGACAAUUGAUAACCCUCUUUUUCCCGAAAGAAAACUUACACUUAGUAAAUUUUUUUUUAAUUCCCUCCAAAGGUCAUCACUCACCUCCUGAAGAAACCCUCUCACCACUCACCAUCGCCACUGACCACUCACCAUUGCGCUAAAACCCUCUCACCAUCAUGAAGAAACCCACUUAUCACCAUCCACCACUGACCGUCACUCCUGUUCGCCCUCAUCUAUGCGCUUCUCACCUUCGCCAACCUUGUCGCACACAACCCUCACCUUCGCCAUUCUCACCGUCGUUGAUGACCAUCGCUGUUGUUGCGCUGACCAUCGCUCUUCUUCUCGGUUCUACCCUAAUCGUCUUCUCCGUGCCCUAAUCGUUGAUGACGGUCGCUGUUCUGACCAUCGCUGUUGCUGCGCCACCGUCACCAUCAUCAUCUCCGUGCUUCUCAUCAUCGUCUUCACUGUGCUCACAUCGUUGAAUAUCUUGAAGCAGCAAUAACCAAGGAUGAGCUUCAGCACCUCGCUUUGCUGUUCAAAUCUGAAUUCGAUUCAAUUGGUCAAAUCACUGCUGGAGUUUUGCGACUGCUUAAGCUGGAAGGUUCUGUUGGUCAGGCUGUAAUAGAUCAACUUGGUAACCUAGGCUAUCUUCAACGGGUAGUGUGAAGUCAUUGCUUUGUGAAAUAGGCUACAUGAACAACUCUGGAACAUUAGUUUAAUUUGCAACCUCUCUUUCUCCGGAGAAAUUGAGCACAUUGAGAUCUUCAGGUAAAUUUUGACGUGCAAGUGGAUCAAUCAUAUCAUCAAGAAAAAAAGAGCUAUAUAGACAAAAGGCUUUCACUAAAAAACAAAAAAGGAACAGGGGGUCCAACUCCAGCAUCAGCACUAAAGCUAGACAAGCUUCUCCAUGAUUAGGUGCUAGUCCUAAUCAUGUUCUAUAUGUUGCUGCUGCAUGUAGUAGUAGUAGUUGGAGGAGUAAUAAUUCAAGAUUGGCUUGUGUAGGAGAGUUCAACUUUUCAAAUGUGAAGAGAAUAGAGAAACUUUGUGGCAACAGUUCUGAUUUUGGCAUUGUGGUGGGAGGAUAAUGUUGAGGAUGAUGAUAAUGAAGAUUAAGUUGAUUAUUAUUGUGAUUUAUUGGCUAAGAUAGAGUAGUGUUGGGAAUGGAUACAUGUAUAGUUGACUAAUGACUUUUAUUAGAAGAUACAUAUGUAGGAUAUAAUAUUUUAGUUUUUUAUAGAGUAUGAGUAGUAAAUUCUAAGUGAUAUCAUAGUUAUUUUGAUAUGGCUAUGUUUAUUUUAAUAUGAGAUGUAUGAAUAUUUAAAAUUAACAUUAUUCUAGUACUUUUGGAUCAUUAUUAUAAA
This is a non-coding RNA of Arachis ipaensis, 1357 nucleotides long. The record is from RefSeq and is a predicted model, not a curated record. NCBI's taxonomy places the organism in Eukaryota, Viridiplantae, Streptophyta, Magnoliopsida, Fabales, Fabaceae.